GGAUAGGUGAUUUAAGCCACGUCAGAACCACCGCUGUGGCGUGUGCCAGCGUCGGACGCCCAUUCGACUGCUCGGGCGGAGCAGCUUUCGCUUCCGCACCUGUGGUGUGGCAGAGCCAGCGAGCUGCUUCCUCAGCUGGAGGAGGAAGAGGAGUGACCUCAACGUUGCCGAGGUAAAGCACAAUUCUUGAAAAGAUUUGGCAAAGAUGUGGGUUGGAGCAGCGCGGCUGCUGCAGCUGCAGCAGAUCCUGGAGCAUUGGAGAAGACAGAGAGGGGUUUCUUGGUGAAAAGAAUGCUGUUAAAAGUGUUUUCAUGCCAGAAAUGAGGAUAAACGCCUCUGUUGUUUGACAUCCUCUAUUGACCUGGCACAUUGGCAUUACAGCGUACCUGGCACGCUGUUUGUAUUAAAAAAACAGGUAUUUUAGUCAGGGCAGGCCAGAAACCUGCCUUGGCACUUGCACAUGGCAGCAAUGCUUACAGACCCUGCAUCCUGGCUGCCAGGCCAGGAUCUAAAUCCGAUGGUGUUGUUGGUAAA
RNAcentral lists this long non-coding RNA (534 nucleotides) under Anas platyrhynchos platyrhynchos (common mallard). RNAcentral's name for it is "lncRNA (ENSAPLG00000021500.1)". Lineage: Eukaryota; Metazoa; Chordata; Aves; Anseriformes; Anatidae. The record is from RNAcentral.